GCGGAUGUGGCGGAAUUGGCAGACGCGCUAGAUUCAGGUUCUAGUGAGGGUUGACUUCGUGGGGGUUCAAGUCCCUUCAUCCGCACCA
This 88-nucleotide transfer RNA is filed under the name Candidatus Avidehalobacter gallistercoris. RNAcentral describes it as "tRNA-Leu". It matches the Rfam family "tRNA". Rfam says of the family: Transfer RNA (tRNA) molecules are approximately 80 nucleotides in length. Their secondary structure includes four short double-helical elements and three loops (D, anti-codon, and T loops). Lineage: Bacteria; Bacillati; Bacillota; Clostridia; Eubacteriales; Peptococcaceae. The record is from RNAcentral.